GUAAUUAAAAAAAACUUUAUUAUAUCCUCUGAAAUAUCCUAUGCGGUAAAGGCAAACAAAAUGGAAAAAAAUGAAAAUAAAAAUAAAUAAAUAAACUCUCGCCAAAGUCUUGUUAUUAUUAUUAUUAUUCAAGACUGUUCACACAUUCUAUGCCGCGGCUAUUCGCAAGCAAAAUACAUUUUAAUCAUAUAUAUGUAUAAAUAAAUAAAUAAAAAGCGUUGAUCCACGGGCCAUGCUUGUGGCGUGUUAAACCUUAGAAGUAAAAGAGUCCCAGUCCGGCAACAGCGGUAACAGCACCAACGAAGCUGGAGGCUUUGAGAGAAACGGCACUAGAUGGUGAUGGAGCGAGAGCACCGCCGUCUGGUGUAGGAGGGGAACUGCUAGUGCUAAUGGAGGAGGAGGGAGAUGAGGCGGGAGAUGUUGAAGGUGAUGAAGAAGAAGAGGUCUUGGGCACAUCCGCCGCAUAAGCCCCAACAACGGCAAUGAGAACAAGGGCGACGACGAGCAUAACUUGGCGAGCCAUCUUUAUUUGCUGGGUUAAAUUUAAAAAUAAAGGAAAUAUAGUUUAUUAAUGUGAUUCAAGGGAAAUGCAGUAAUAUAUUCUCUAAUGUAAAUAGAGAAACACUGCAAAACGGUUGAAUGCUUU
This 646-nucleotide long non-coding RNA is filed under the name Gossypium raimondii (Peruvian cotton). RNAcentral's name for it is "long non-coding RNA (GRAI_LNC005127)". The record is from RNAcentral. Lineage: Eukaryota; Viridiplantae; Streptophyta; Magnoliopsida; Malvales; Malvaceae.